AGAACGGUCGCCGCGUCGCCUCAGCACGGACCUCCAGGGAGCUCCUCAGCAAGAUCCUGCCAGGGCGCCCCUCAGCGCGAUUCUGCCGGGGUGCCUCUCAGCGUGGUCCUCCCCGGGGCUCCUCAGCACGAUUCUCCCGGUGCGCCCCUCAGCGCGGUCCUCCUCGGUGCGUCAGUCAUCGUGGUUCUCCCCGGCGCGCCCCUCGGCGCGGUUCUCCUCGGGGCUCCUCAGCGCGGCGCUCUUCUGGGGGCUCCUCGGCGCAGUUCUCCCCGGGGACUCCUCGGCGCCGUUCUCCUCGGGGCACCCGGGGCUUUUCGGCGCGGUUCUCCCCGGGGGUUCUUCGGCGCGGUUGUCCCCGGGGGUUCUUCGGCGCGGUUCUCUCCGGGGGCCUCUCGCCGCGGUUCUGUUCUCCCCGGGGGCUCCUCAGCAUGGUUCUCCUCCGCGCGGUCCUCCCUGGGCCUCCUCAGCGCGGCACUCUCCUGGGGGCUCCUCAGCGCGGCACUCUCCCCGGGGGCUCCUCAGCGCGGCACUCUCCCGGCGGCUCCUCAGUGCGGUUCUCCCAGACUCUCCUCAGCGCGGCCCUCCCCAUCUCUCUGGGAGGGUUUGAACACGGUCAGCACGGACCUGGGCGGACGGCGCGGGACGGGUGAUCACUGGCGUUGCUGAGCACUAUUCACAACAGCAAAGAUAUGGACUCAGGAACCUAAGUGUACAUCAGUGGAUAAAUGGAAAAAGAAAAUGAGCAUCAGGACACUCAGCCUUGGCCACCAAGGACCUUUGUAAUGUUUGCCACUGCUGACCUCAGCUGAUGGAGCUGCAAGAAGAGUAUUCCAUUAUAUCCUCAUCUGGGCUACAGCUGCUGCACCCUACCUACUUAACACUCCAUCAAGUGAGCAGAUUUCAAUUCAUUGUAACAAGAAACAGAAAAACCAAGGAAACAUAGCACCCACCUGAGAAAUACAAUAAUUUUCAGGGACUGACUCCCAAGAAAUUGGGAUACAUUAAUUGCCUUACAGAAAAUUAAAAACGACUGAUUUAAGGAAGUUCAGUGUGCUACCAGAGAACAGAGAGACAACCUAAUGAAAUCAUUAAUACACAAAAGGAGACAUUCAAUAAAGAAAUAGAAAUCCUAAAAAAAAAACAAACAUUUUGGAGGUGAAGAAUAUAGUGCAUGAAAUGAAAAGUGAAAUAGAAAGCAUCAGCAGCAGACUUGAUCAAAUAGAAGGAGGAAUUCAUCAACUGGAGGAUAAAUUAUUUGAAAAUAACCAGUAGAGGAGAAAAAUAAAGAAUGAAAAGGUAACAAGGGAAGUUUACAGGAUUUAUGGGACACCAUCAGGAGAGUUAAUGUUCACACAGGAUUUAUAGAAGGAAAGUAGAGAGGUAAAGGGUAGAAAGUUAAUUCAGAGAAAUAAUGGCUGAAAACUUCCCAUAUCUGGGGCUCUUCCCAGAUUGAUGGACAUCUAGGUACAUGAAGCUCAAAGAAUUACAAUUAGUUUCCAUCUAAAAGAGGUUUCACCUAGAUAUAUUGCCAUCAAAAUGUAAAAAAUGGAAGACAAGAUAAUUUUGAAAGCGGCAAGAUAAAUAAAGUUCUUACAUCUGCAGGAACCUCCAUAAGGCUAUCAGUGGAUUUCUGAGCAAAAACUUUCCAGGCCAGGAAACAAUAGGAUUAUAUAUUCAAAGUUCUGAAAGAUAAAAAACUGCCAUCUAAGAAUACUUUACACAGCAAAGCUGUCCUUCAGAUAUGAAACAGAUACAAGACUUCCUCAGGUAAACAAAAGUUGAAGGAGUUUAUCAGCAACUACUCUUGCCUUACAAGAUAUGCCAGAGGGAGUUAUUCAGGCUUAAAUGGAAGGAUGAUAAUUAGUAACAUGAAAACAUAUGAAAGUACAAAAUUCACUGAUAAAUAAAUAUACGGGCAACUUAA
This 1924-nucleotide long non-coding RNA is filed under the name Homo sapiens (human). RNAcentral's name for it is "KCNQ1 opposite strand/antisense transcript 1". Lineage: Eukaryota; Metazoa; Chordata; Mammalia; Primates; Hominidae. The record is from RNAcentral.